AAUCAGAAGAUAAUCGGGCCAUAGACAGCAGGUGCGGCACAGCCGCGUAAGCAUAGCGCCAGCCGAGGUUGGAGACGUUGAAGAUAGACCUUCGCGACCUCCGGCUGCGGCCGAGAGGUCUUUUUGAUUUAAUA
Non-coding RNA from Phascolarctobacterium sp. CAG:266, 134 nucleotides. NCBI's taxonomy places the organism in Bacteria, Bacillati, Bacillota, Negativicutes, Acidaminococcales, Acidaminococcaceae. The record is from Rfam.